GACGAACGCUGGCGGCGUGCUUAACACAUGCAAGUCGAACGGAAAGGCCCUGCUUUUGUGGGGUGCUCGAGUGGCGAACGGGUGAGUAACACGUGAGUAACCUGCCCUUGACUUUGGGAUAACUUCAGGAAACUGGGGCUAAUACCGGAUAGGAGCUCCUGCUGCAUGGUGGGGGUUGGAAAGUUUCGGCGGUUGGGGAUGGACUCGCGGCUUAUCAGCUUGUUGGUGGGGUAGUGGCUUACCAAGGCUUUGACGGGUAGCCGGCCUGAGAGGGUGACCGGCCACAUUGGGACUGAGAUACGGCCCAGACUCCUACGGGAGGCAGCAGUGGGGAAUAUUGCACAAUGGGCGGAAGCCUGAUGCAGCAACGCCGCGUGCGGGAUGACGGCCUUCGGGUUGUAAACCGCUUUCGCCUGUGACGAAGCGUGAGUGACGGUAAUGGGUAAAGAAGCACCGGCUAACUACGUGCCAGCAGCCGCGGUGAUACGUAGGGUGCGAGCGUUGUCCGGAUUUAUUGGGCGUAAAGGGCUCGUAGGUGGUUGAUCGCGUCGGAAGUGUAAUCUUGGGGCUUAACCCUGAGCGUGCUUUCGAUACGGGUUGACUUGAGGAAGGUAGGGGAGAAUGGAAUUCCUGGUGGAGCGGUGGAAUGCGCAGAUAUCAGGAGGAACACCAGUGGCGAAGGCGGUUCUCUGGGCCUUUCCUGACGCUGAGGAGCGAAAGCGUGGGGAGCGAACAGGCUUAGAUACCCUGGUAGUCCACGCUGUAAACGGUGGGUACUAGGUGUGGGGUCCAUUCCACGGGUUCCGUGCCGUAGCUAACGCUUUAAGUACCCCGCCUGGGGAGUACGGCCGCAAGGCUAAAACUCAAAGGAAUUGACGGGGCCCCGCACAAGCGGCGGAGCAUGCGGAUUAAUUCGAUGCAACGCGUAGAACCUUACCUGGGUUUGACAUGGAUCGGGAGUGCUCAGAGAUGGGUGUGCCUCUUUUGGGGUCGGUUCACAGGUGGUGCAUGCCUGUCGUCAGCUCGUGUCGUGAGAUGUUGGGUUAAGUCCCGCAACGAGCGCAACCCUUGUUCACUGUUGCCAGCACGUUAUGGUGGGGACUCAGUGGAGACCGCCGGGGUCAACUCGGAGGAAGGUGGGGAUGACGUCAAGUCCUCAUGCCCCUUACGUCCAGGGCUUCACGCAUGCUACAAUGGCUGGUACAGAGAGUGGCGAGCCUGUGAGGGUGAGCGAAUCUCGGAAAGCCGGUCUCAGUUCGGAUUGGGGUCUGCAACUCGACCUCAUGAAGUCGGAGUCGCUAGUAAUCGCAGAUCAGCAACGCUGCGGUGAAUACGUUCCCGGG
RNAcentral lists this ribosomal RNA (1343 nucleotides) under uncultured bacterium. RNAcentral describes it as "16S ribosomal RNA". It matches the Rfam family "Bacterial small subunit ribosomal RNA", at positions 28 to 1378 of the family's 1533-position model. The record is from RNAcentral.